CUCCUACCCUGUAACACCCCCUCCUCAACUCAGGACUGAACUAGUGAUUCCAUCUUGGGCCCAGCCAAACGGGGUCCAGUCCCCUCCCUUCCUAGCUGGAUGGAUUCGGCUUUCUCUGCUGAUCACAUUAGACCAGCCUCUCAUUUUCUUCCAAUUCUGGAGCCCCAGAUUCCUCUCCUUUCCAAGUUAUGACAAACCUUCGAUAUCAAGAUAGUGAAGUUCCCAAACCUGAGAGUAUUGAAGGUCUAUUAAAGAGCUGGAGACAACAUGGAUGUUGUAGGAAAGUGAACCCAGGAGGAAGGAAUGCAUCUAAUUGGAAGAUACUGAACCCAGAAAUGAGCCCUAGAGUUCAGAAACAUCCAUGGAAGCUCUCGCUUUCAGGAUACAGAAGCUCUGCUCUGGAUAAAGACAGAGAAGACUACAGUUACACUUAAGGACAGCUUCGCAGGAAGUGAAAAGAACCUGAUUCCUGACAACGCUGUGGGAUGGACUGCCUACCCCUGGCUUUCUUUUAAUAAGAGAAAGAAGUUUA
Long non-coding RNA from Mesocricetus auratus (golden hamster), 532 nucleotides. RefSeq lists it as uncharacterized. Lineage: Eukaryota; Metazoa; Chordata; Mammalia; Rodentia; Cricetidae. The record is from RefSeq and is a predicted model, not a curated record. The transcript has 4 exons.